Molecule: long non-coding RNA, 326 nt
Filed under: Homo sapiens (human)
Lineage: Eukaryota; Metazoa; Chordata; Mammalia; Primates; Hominidae
Description: HSALNT0292924
Source: RNAcentral
AGUGGGAGGAAGAAAGGCAUGAAAUGAAGAAUCGACAUGAUUGUGGUGCCUGGAGCCAGAGAGUUAGCUGCUGGUUCCAGCUCUGGUAUUAACUGAGGGUGUGAUCUGAGAGGAGAAAGCUGAAGCACCAGAUGGUUAAAAGGACUGUUCAAGACAGCCUUGCAAUUUUGACCAAGGAAGAAAGCUGAAGAGUGCUAGGGCAAGAGAGGAACUACGUCCAGAACAAUUCAUAAUUCCAAAUUCUCACUUCCAUGAUUUCAAUGCUGAAUGUGUACUUCUCUAGCUAAAAAUACAAUUGCUUAAGUAAAAUCAUCAUUAUUUACAGU